GCACCAGACUCCUACGGGAGGCAGCAGUGGGGAAUAUUGCACAAUGGGGGAAACCCUGAUGCAGCGACGCCGCGUGGGUGACGAAGUAUUUCGGUAUGUAAAGCCCUAUCAGCAGGGAAGAAGAUGACAGUACCUGACUAAGAAGCCCCGGCUAACUACGUGCCAGCAGCCGCGGUAAUACGUAGGGGGCAAGCGUUAUCCGGAUUUACUGGGUGUAAAGGGAGCGUAGACGGCAGAGAAAGUCUGAAGUGAAAGCCCGCGGCUCAACCGCGGAACUGCUUUGGAAACUUUUCGGCUAGAGCACCGGAGAGGUAAGCGGAAUUCCUAGUGUAGCGGUGAAAUGCGUAGAUAUUAGGAGGAACACCAGUGGCGAAGGCGGCUUACUGGACGGUAACUGACGUUGAGGCUCGAAAGCGUGGGGAGCAAACAGGAUUAGAUACCCUUGUA
This 447-nucleotide ribosomal RNA is filed under the name uncultured bacterium. RNAcentral describes it as "bacterial SSU rRNA". It matches the Rfam family "Bacterial small subunit ribosomal RNA", at positions 328 to 792 of the family's 1533-position model. The record is from RNAcentral.